This 352-nucleotide ribosomal RNA is filed under the name uncultured fungus. RNAcentral's name for it is "SSU rRNA". It matches the Rfam family "Eukaryotic small subunit ribosomal RNA", at positions 20 to 370 of the family's 1831-position model. Lineage: Eukaryota; Fungi. The record is from RNAcentral.
GUAGUCAUAUGCUUGUCUCAAAGAUUAAGCCAUGCAAGUCUAAGUAUAAACAAGUUUGUACUGUGAAACUGCGAAUGGCUCAUUAAAUCAGUUAUAGUUUAUUUGAUGAUAAUUUGCUACAUGGAUAACUGUGGUAAUUCUAGAGCUAAUACAUGCAUCACAAGCCCCGACUUCCGGAAGGGGUGUAUUUAUUAGAUAAAAGACCAACGCGGCUUGCCGCUCCUUUGGUGAUUCAUAAUAACUUGUCGAAUCGUAUGGCCUUGCGCUGACGAUGCAUCAUUCAAAUAUCUGCCCUAUCAAUUUUCGAUGGUAGGAUAGUGGCCUACCAUGGUUUCAACGGGUAACGGGGAAU